GCAGGGCGCGGGGCGGGCCUGGCGACAGCGGCGGCGCGGGGCGGGAGAGCGAGCUCGGCGGAGUCGGCGCCGCCAUGGCUACCGUGGACCUGGAGAAGCUGCGCACGUCGGGGGCCGGCAAGGCCAUCGGCGUGCUGACCAGCGGCGGCGAUGCGCAAGGCAUGAAUGCCGCCGUCAGAGCCGUCACGCGCAUGGGCAUCUACGUGGGGGCCAAGGUCUUCCUCAUCUGCGAGGGCUAUGAGGGCCUCGUGGAAGGAGGCGAGAACAUCAAGCCGGCCAACUGGCUCAGCGUCUCCAACAUCAUCCAGCUGGGCGGUACGGUCAUCGGCAGCGCCCGCUGCAAGGCCUUCACCACGCGGGAGGGGCGCCUGGCGGCGGCCUACAACCUAGUCCAGCGUGGCAUCACCAACCUGUGUGUCAUUGGCGGGGACGGCAGCCUCACGGGAGCCAACAUCUUCCGCAGCGAGUGGGGCAGCCUGCUGGCGGAGCUGGUGAGCGAAGGCAGGAUCUCAGAGAGCACGGCCCAGACUUACUCACACCUGAGCAUCGCCGGGCUGGUGGGCUCCAUCGACAACGACUUCUGCGGCACCGACAUGACCAUCGGCACCGACUCGGCCCUGCACCGCAUCAUGGAGGUCAUCGACGCCAUCACCACCACCGCCCAGAGCCACCAGAGGACUUUUGUUCUGGAGGUGAUGGGGCGGCACUGCGGGUACCUGGCCCUGGUGUCCGCCCUGGCCUCGGGGGCCGACUGGCUGUUCAUCCCUGAGGCGCCCCCCGAGGACGGCUGGGAGAACUUCAUGUGUGAGCGGCUUGGCGAGACGCGGAGCCGAGGGUCCCGACUCAACAUCAUCAUCAUCGCGGAGGGCGCCAUCGACCGCCACGGGAAGCCCAUCACCUCGCGCUACGUCAAGGACCUGGUGGUGCAGAGGCUGGGCUUCGACACGCGUGUGACUGUGCUGGGCCACGUGCAGAGGGGAGGGACCCCGUCGGCGUUCGACCGCGUCCUGAGCAGCAAGAUGGGCAUGGAGGCGGUGAUGGCGCUGCUGGAGGCCACGCCCGACACGCCGGCCUGCGUGGUCAGCCUCUCGGGGAACCAGUCUGUGCGGCUGCCCCUGAUGGAGUGCGUGCAGAUGACCAAGGAGGUGCAGAAGGCCAUGGACGAGAAGAGGUUCGACGAGGCCAUCCAGCUACGGGGCAGGAGCUUUGAGAACAACUGGAACAUUUACAAGCUGCUUGCGCACCAGAAGAUCUCCAAGGAGAAGACCAACUUCUCUCUGGCCAUCCUGAACGUGGGCGCCCCGGCGGCCGGCAUGAAUGCAGCUGUGCGCUCGGCCGUGCGUUCCGGCAUCUCCCAGGGCCACACGGUGUACGUCGUGCACGACGGCUUUGAGGGCCUGGCCAAGGGCCAGGUGCAAGAAGUGGGCUGGCAUGACGUGGCCGGCUGGCUGGGCCGUGGUGGCUCCAUGCUGGGGACCAAGAGGACGCUGCCCAAGGCCUACUUGGAGAAAAUUGUGGAAAAUAUUCGCACUUACAACAUCCACGCCCUGCUGGUCAUCGGUGGCUUCGAGGCCUACGAAGGGGUGCUGCAGCUGGUGGAGGCCCGCGGGCGCUACGAGGAGCUCUGCAUUGUCAUGUGUGUCAUCCCUGCCACCAUCAGCAACAACGUGCCAGGCACCGACUUCAGCCUGGGCUCCGACACCGCCGUCAACGCUGCCAUGGAGAGCUGUGACCGCAUCAAGCAGUCGGCCUCGGGGACCAAGCGCCGCGUGUUCAUCGUGGAGACCAUGGGGGGCUACUGCGGCUACCUGGCCACCGUGACCGGCAUCGCCGUGGGGGCCGACGCUGCCUACGUCUUCGAGGACCCUUUCAACAUCCAGGACUUAAAGGCCAACGUGGAGCACAUGACGGAGAAGAUGAAGACCGACAUCCAGAGGGGCCUGGUGCUCCGAAACGAGAAGUGCCACGAAUACUACACCACGGAGUUUCUCUACAACCUGUACUCCUCCGAGGGGAGGGGCAUCUUUGACUGCAGGACCAACGUCCUGGGCCACCUGCAGCAGGUACAGGGUGGGGGCGCUCGGAUUCUGGAAGGUCACUGCCUGGCCCCAUCUGUGCCCGCCCUCGCGGGGCACCUGGCCGUUCUCACACCCCUGACCAGAGUGCUGACACCGGCACUGCAGGGGAGGCCACCCAGGCUGGUCCUGCUCAGGCCUCAGCCUGAGGGGGGGGGCGGGGCCACGCCCACGAGCCCCUCCCCUCUCCGCCUCCUCGUGGGAGGUGGCCCUGCGGAAGCCUGCUGCGGGGUUUCCCAGCCAGACGUGAGGACUCCGUGCUACUCUGUCCGGGGCAGCUCACUGUCUGCAGGACCUGCCUGCUGGAUGCCAGUGCCCAGGGGGGACCCCCGACCCCCGACUCAAUGAGGAGGCAGCCCACUGCCUUGCCUCUGGAGGUGGCUUUUAGGGCCCAUUUGGGGUGGAGAAAGGGGCCGGGGGGUGCUGCUGGCUGAGGGGAUGGAUUGCCCAGGAGGGCUCCCUCGAGGUCACAGCGGAGGCCAGGUUGCUGGGCUCCUGCCAGGGCUGGGGCUGCCGCCGCCGGCUCUCCUGGUGGACGGCCAGGACCUGGCCUCACCCACGAUGUUUCCAGGGCGGAGCUCCCACUCCCUUCGACCGGAACUACGGUACCAAGCUGGGGGUGAAGGCCAUCCUCUGGAUGUCCGAGAAGCUGCGGGCAGUCUACCGCAAGGGGCGGGUGUUUGCCAACGCCCCCGACUCGGCCUGCGUGAUCGGCCUGCAGAAGAAGGCGGUGGCCUUCAGCCCGGUCACUGAGCUCAAGGAGGACACCGACUUUGAGCACCGCAUGCCCCGGGAGCAGUGGUGGCUGAACCUGCGGCUCAUGCUGAAGAUGCUGGCGCACUACCGCAUCAGCAUGGCCGACUACGUGUCCGGGGAGCUGGAGCACGUCACCCGCCGCACCCUGAGCAUCGAAACCGGCUUCUGAAGCGUGUCCACGCCCCGCCCCUGCCUGCGCCUGCCUCCGCCCUCCUCCUCGGGCCUGUGGGCAGGUGGGCUUCGGGCAGGCAAGGCCUGGCGUUCUAGCCUGGCUUCGGUGUCUCAUGGCCCCGUUCCAUCCUGCGGCCCGCUCGGUCCUCUCCCAGGGCAGAGCACCCACGUUCCGGUCCAGGGGCACGUGGGGACAUCCGUGUUUGAAUACCACUGCCCAGCUGAUCCCCACCCCAUGGUGGCCCUGAGCCCCUUCCCAGCCCGCCCUGCACCCUCCCCAGCCCCGGGGGCUGGCGGCUGGGUUUCCAUGUGGGAAGGGGGGGGCAUGCUCCUGUGGGUGGGUCUCGUGCUGUGACCCAGCUCCUGCGUGCCCUGGCCACUGUGGACGCAGAGUUUGCCACGUUUUUUAGAAAUAAAGUCACCCCAACUGU
Non-coding RNA from Sus scrofa (pig), 3433 nucleotides. The record is from RefSeq and is a predicted model, not a curated record. NCBI's taxonomy places the organism in Eukaryota, Metazoa, Chordata, Mammalia, Artiodactyla, Suidae.